GGCCGACUAGCUCAGUUGGUUAGAGCGUCGUGCUAAUACUUAGUUUCAAGUCAGUUGUGUUUGGACCUUAGACCCAACUGGCUUGGGGCCAAGGAACGCGAAGGUCUUGGGUUCGAUCCCCACGUUGGCCA
Non-coding RNA from Imleria badia, 131 nucleotides. Lineage: Eukaryota; Fungi; Basidiomycota; Agaricomycetes; Boletales; Boletaceae. The record is from the annotation of a GenBank genome assembly.